This 504-nucleotide ribosomal RNA is filed under the name uncultured bacterium. RNAcentral's name for it is "partial 16S ribosomal RNA". It matches the Rfam family "Bacterial small subunit ribosomal RNA", at positions 30 to 523 of the family's 1533-position model. The record is from RNAcentral.
AUUGAACGCUGGCGGCAGGCCUAACACAUGCAAGUCGAGCGGUAGCACAGAGAGCUUGCUCUCGGGUGACGAGCGGCGGACGGGUGAGUAAUGUCUGGGAAACUGCCUGAUGGAGGGGGAUAACUACUGGAAACGGUAGCUAAUACCGCAUAACGUCGCAAGACCAAAGAGGGGGACCUUCGGGCCUCUUGCCAUCAGAUGUGCCCAGAUGGGAUUAGCUAGUAGGUGGGGUAACGGCUCACCUAGGCGACGAUCCCUAGCUGGUCUGAGAGGAUGACCAGCCACACUGGAACUGAGACACGGUCCAGACUCCUACGGGAGGCAGCAGUGGGGAAUAUUGCACAAUGGGCGCAAGCCUGAUGCAGCCAUGCCGCGUGUAUGAAGAAGGCCUUCGGGUUGUAAAGUACUUUCAGCGGGGAGGAAGGUGUUGAGGUUAAUAACCUCAGCAAUUGACGUUACCCGCAGAAGAAGCACCGGCUAACUCCGUGCCAGCCGCCGCCGUAA